GUCUGGAAUACAGAUGAAUGAGAAGGUAAGUUUCAUCUUUGGUUAUUGAACAGGACAGGGGGUCUGGAAUACAGAUGAAUGAGAAGUUAAGUUUCAUCUUUGAUUACUGAACAGGACAGGGGGUCUGGAAUACAGAUGAAUGAGAAGGUAAGUUUCAUCUUUGGUUACUGAACAGGACAAGGGGUCUGGAAUACAGAUGAAUGAGAAGUUAAGUUUCAUCUUUGGUUACUGAACAGGACAAGGGGUCUGGAAUACAGAUGAAUGAGAAGGUAAGUUUCAUCUUUGGUUACUGAACAGGACAAGGGGUCUGGAAUACAGAUGAAUGAGAAGGUAAGUUUCAUCUUUGGUUAUUGAACAGGACAGGGGGUCUGGAAUACAGAUGAAUGAGAAGUUAAGUUUCAUCUUUGGUUACUGAACAGGACAAGGGGUCUGGAAUACAGAUGAAUGAGAAGGUAAGUUUCAUCUUUGGUUACUGAAC
Mytilus californianus (California mussel) is the source of this 478-nucleotide long non-coding RNA. RefSeq lists it as uncharacterized. NCBI's taxonomy places the organism in Eukaryota, Metazoa, Mollusca, Bivalvia, Mytilida, Mytilidae. The transcript is spliced from 3 exons. The record is from RefSeq and is a predicted model, not a curated record.